Long non-coding RNA from Chenopodium quinoa (quinoa), 2113 nucleotides. RefSeq lists it as uncharacterized. The record is from RefSeq and is a predicted model, not a curated record. The transcript is spliced from 2 exons. Lineage: Eukaryota; Viridiplantae; Streptophyta; Magnoliopsida; Caryophyllales; Amaranthaceae.
UAGGGGUGAGCAAAGACCCAGGGUACCCGGUACCGGACCCGGAACCGGUUAGGAUCCGCCGGGUCCGGACCCGGAACUGGUCCCACCGGUUCCGGGACCGGGUCCAAAAUGUCGGACCCGGUUGUAACCGGUUCCGGGACCGGGUCCUAAAAUUUCGGACCCGGUACCCACUGGGUACCCGGUUUAAACCAAUUCCAGUUCCGGGUACCCGGUCCCGGAUCCAGACAAUCCGGGUACCCGGAACCGGUACUGAUUUAGUUAUAAAAAUUUUUUUUGUUUUUUUAAAAAACCCAACAAUUAUGGCCCAAUAUUCCAGAUUUUACCCUAAGUAUAUAAAGCAAAAAAAAAAAAAACCCUAUUCUAUCCUCUCACUUUCUCACCCUACUCUGCUUCUCUGCUACAGUGGUACUCACCACUCUCACACUCUCGCUCUCCUCUUGACUGUCGAGUGUCGACCACCGUUCACCGUCGAGCGUUCACUUCUUAAUUCCUCCAAAGGUAAUUUUUAAACUUUGCAUAUCAAAUUAUCAAUUGCGAAUUUGCGAUUAUGUAUUUAUUCGGUUUAGAUCUGAAAAACGAAAGCUAAUUUUUAGGGUUUUAAUCAUGAAUAGUGUUAAUUAUGAAAAUUACUAUUAAAGAUGAGUUUGAAUCAUGAUAAAAUUACAAAUUACAAGUACAAAUUAGUUAAACAUUCAGAUUUGUUCCUUCCCUUGAAUUCUCUAGUAUUUUGGGUGAAUAUAAACUCGAUUGUGUUGAUUGUGCUUCUUCCCUUUCGUUUUAACUUAUGUUUUUUUUUUAUAAAAAUCAUAUUAUCGAAGAAGAAUCGUGGGGUUUAAUACUUUAAUGGGUUUAAUCGUUUAUUCUCAGAUUUCGCAAGUUUAAUGGUUUUUAUUCUGUUUAUUUUGCUAUUUUUUAGGCAUUUUUAUUGCGUAAUCUAUUGAAUUACUGAUCUUUCAGUUUCUAGGUUUUACUUUGAUAUGUUGUGAUGUUGUCAUUGUGUCAAGUGUCUUGAUCUGUUUAGUCUCAAGGUUUAAUGUAUUGAUGUUGUUCUGCUUCUUUGCAUUGCUGUUGUGUUGGUGUCAAGUUUCAUGAAUUGAUUUAGUUUAUGGGUUUAAGCUAUUUCUUGUUUUAUUGAGCUGGUCUUUUCUGAAAUUUGUAGUUGUGGAGAAAGAUGUAGAUGGUGAUGCAUGUGCAGGAACUACAGUUGGAUUUCUAUGUAGAAUUCUGCUUGUUUAAAAGGUUUUUAUAGAGGAGAAAGUGUUUCAACAACUAAAGGAACCUUCUUUUCAUAAGAUUAAUUACCAUUUUUUCUUUAUUAAGUUCCAAUUCCUUUUUGUAUUCUUCAUGAAGAUGAUGUACUAGGAUCUGUGCAUAUUGUCUCUCCUUUCUUUCUUUGUGUUUAUGUGAGUGAGACAAUAUCAGUUCUGACUGUUGUAUGUAUUUGUGUAAUGCAUAUAAUCACUCUCACUUUGUGUAAUGUUUAUGUCUUAUUAAAGUUUAAUUUGUUCCUAUUUCAGAACUAUGAGCAAUACCGACAAUUCGUCAGUCCCUAUGGAUGAUGAAAGUGAGGUUGGAAACGAGAAUGCAACAACCAAAUCAACCAAGGUUGGUGACAAGAGGAAGUCUGAAUACUGGAACCAUUUUUGGGAUUUUAGAGAUCCAGUAACCAAAAAAAUUGUUCAAGUCAAAUGCAAAUAUUGUGAGAAAAUGCUAACAGGGAAUUUGUGCUUCCUUGUUGGCUGCUGCCUCUUUGCUUUGUUGUCUGCUGUAUGCUGUCUUUCUCCGUUGCUUAGAUGGUUGCUGACUUGCUGCUGGUCUUGUUGCUGGCUGAUGGUGUGCUCAGCUGCUGCCUGCUGAUGGUGUGCUCAGCUGCUGCAGUGCUGCCUGUUGCUGCCCUUCCUUUUCUUCCCUUUUUUUUUCUGAACUUUUAUUUAAGUAGUUGUUUUGGUUAUGUUUGGAUGUUUGGACUUUGCAGCAUUGUUGAAGUUUGUUGUACUGAUAUUUUAGGUUGUUGAAUUGGUACUUUUUGGCUUAUUAGUUUGUAAUAUUUGUAUUUUGAAAUAUUUGUAUUUUGCUAGCCUCCAAAACUAAUUUAGGGAUAUUAUUAUGUUAA